Molecule: long non-coding RNA, 377 nt
Organism: Perca fluviatilis (European perch)
Lineage: Eukaryota; Metazoa; Chordata; Actinopteri; Perciformes; Percidae
Exons: 4
Source: RefSeq, a predicted model, not a curated record
CCAUGGACUUACAGUUACCUCUGUAGUGGGCAAAUAAACCCAACUACUCUUAACAGGGAUUCAGUUGCUGAUGUCCAGUUGCAAGGGUUAUUGGACCAGGUUGAAAUGUCAACUGAACAUUCAAUUGAAGGCCUAUCUGAUGAAAUCUUAAAUUGCGGAUAUACUGGAGCUAUAUCCGUGCAAAACAAGGAGUCCAUUGUUCGUGCCAUCAUACUCCAUGCAGUGCUGAGGUUGCAGCCUAUGUUGGAUCAAUUGAGGGAAGGCCUGCAGCUGUAUGACCUUCUUCUGCUAAUUGGGCAGUACCCAGAUAUCUGCCAGCCCCUGUUUGUUCCUGGGGAAGAUGUAAAAGUCAAUGCAGAGUUUGUCAUGGCAUCCAU